CCUACGGGCGGCUGCAGUGGGGAAUAUUGCACAAUGGGGGAAACCCUGAUGCAGCGACGCCGCGUGAGUGAAGAAGUAAUUCGUUAUGUAAAGCUCUAUCAGCAGGGAAGAAAAUGACGGUACCUGAGUAAGAAGCCCCGGCUAACUACGUGCCAGCAGCCGCGGUAAUACGUAGGGGGCAAGCGUUAUCCGGAUUUACUGGGUGGAAAGGGAGCGUAGACGGCAGUGCAAGUCUGGAGUGAAAGGCGGGGGCUCAACCCCCGGACUGCUCUGGAAACUGUACGGCUGGAGUGCAGGAGAGGUAAGUGGAAUUCCUAGUGUAGCGGUGAAAUGCGUAGAUAUUAGGAGGAACACCAGUGGCGAAGGCGGCUUACUGGACUGUAACUGACAUUGAGGCUCGAAAGCGUGGGGAGCAAACAGGAUUAGAUACCCCAGUAGUC
RNAcentral lists this ribosomal RNA (440 nucleotides) under uncultured bacterium. Its description in RNAcentral is "partial 16S ribosomal RNA". It matches the Rfam family "Bacterial small subunit ribosomal RNA", at positions 338 to 795 of the family's 1533-position model. The record is from RNAcentral.